RNAcentral lists this transfer RNA (69 nucleotides) under Acheilognathus cyanostigma. Its description in RNAcentral is "tRNA-Ala". It matches the Rfam family "tRNA". From Rfam's summary of the family: Transfer RNA (tRNA) molecules are approximately 80 nucleotides in length. Their secondary structure includes four short double-helical elements and three loops (D, anti-codon, and T loops). Further hydrogen bonds mediate the characteristic L-shaped molecular structure. tRNAs have two regions of fundamental functional importance: the anti-codon, which is responsible for specific mRNA codon recognition, and the 3' end, to which the tRNAs corresponding amino acid is attached (by aminoacyl-tRNA synthetases). tRNAs cope with the degeneracy of the genetic code in two manners: having more than one tRNA (with a specific anti-codon) for a particular amino acid; and 'wobble' base-pairing, i.e. permitting non-standard base-pairing at the 3rd anti-codon position. Lineage: Eukaryota; Metazoa; Chordata; Actinopteri; Cypriniformes; Acheilognathidae. RNAcentral also lists the same sequence under 2 other names. The record is from RNAcentral.
AAGGCCUUAGUUUAAUUAAAACAUUUGAUUUGCAUUCAUAAAAUGCAAGAUAGAGUCUUGUAGGUCUUA